RNAcentral lists this ribosomal RNA (814 nucleotides) under uncultured bacterium. RNAcentral's name for it is "bacterial SSU rRNA". It matches the Rfam family "Bacterial small subunit ribosomal RNA", at positions 8 to 810 of the family's 1533-position model. The record is from RNAcentral.
AGAGUUUGAUCCUGGCUCAGGAUGAACGCUAGCUACAGGCUUAACACAUGCAAGUCGAGGGGCAGCAUUUUAGUUUGCUUGCAAACUAAAGAUGGCGACCGGCGCACGGGUGAGUAACACGUAUCCAACCUGCCGAUAACUCGGGGAUAGCCUUUCGAAAGAAAGAUUAAUAUCCGAUGGUAUAUUAAAACCGCAUGGUUUUACUAUUAAAGAAUUUCGGUUAUCGAUGGGGAUGCGUUCCAUUAGUUUGUUGGCGGGGUAACGGCCCACCAAGACUACGAUGGAUAGGGGUUCUGAGAGGAAGGUCCCCCACAUUGGAACUGAGACACGGUCCAAACUCCUACGGGAGGCAGCAGUGAGGAAUAUUGGUCAAUGGACGAGAGUCUGAACCAGCCAAGUAGCGUGAAGGAUGACUGCCCUAUGGGUUGUAAACUUCUUUUAUAUGGGAAUAAAGUAUUCCACGUGUGGGAUUUUGUAUGUACCAUAUGAAUAAGGAUCGGCUAACUCCGUGCCAGCAGCCGCGGUAAUACGGAGGAUCCGAGCGUUAUCCGGAUUUAUUGGGUUUAAAGGGAGCGUAGGUGGAUUGUUAAGUCAGUUGUGAAAGUUUGCGGCUCAACCGUAAAAUUGCAGUUGAAACUGGCAGUCUUGAGUACAGUAGAGGUGGGCGGAAUUCGUGGUGUAGCGGUGAAAUGCUUAGAUAUCACGAAGAACUCCGAUUGCGAAGGCAGCUCACUAGACUGCAACUGACACUGAUGCUCGAAAGUGUGGGUAUCAAACAGGAUUAGAUACCCUGGUAGUCCACACAGUAAACGAU